UACAUAGUCUUUUGGUGGAGAAUUCAAAUGCGUAGAGAUGGAAAAAAAAACACCAACGAUGAAAGCAUACGGUUGGAUCAUUACCAACACUAAAAGACGAAAGCUAAGGGAGUGAUUGAGAUUAGAUACCCUGGUAGUAUUAGCCGUAAAUGAUGGAUGCUAGGCACUCCCUAACUUAAUGAUCAAGUUGCAAGUUAAUCAACAAUCU
RNAcentral lists this ribosomal RNA (208 nucleotides) under Olea europaea subsp. europaea. Its description in RNAcentral is "SSU_rRNA_microsporidia". Lineage: Eukaryota; Viridiplantae; Streptophyta; Magnoliopsida; Lamiales; Oleaceae. The record is from RNAcentral.